UACGGGGGGGGCAAGCGUUGUUCGGAAUUACUGGGCGUAAAGGGCGCGUAGGCGGCCUGCUAAGUCGGACGUGAAAUCCCUCGGCUCAACCGAGGAACUGCGUCCGAUACUGGUGGGCUUGAAUCCGGGAGAGGGAUGUGGAAUUCCAGGUGUAGCGGUGAAAUGCGUAGAUAUCUGGAGGAACACCGGUGGCGAAGGCGGCAUCCUGGACCGAUAUUGACGCUGAGGCGCGAAAGCUAGGGGAGCAAACGGG
This 253-nucleotide ribosomal RNA is filed under the name uncultured bacterium. RNAcentral's name for it is "partial 16S ribosomal RNA". It matches the Rfam family "Bacterial small subunit ribosomal RNA", at positions 524 to 776 of the family's 1533-position model. The record is from RNAcentral.